CCGAGUUCUAAACUCAUCAACCCAUUGUGAACAUACCUAAAUUGUUGCUUCGGCGGUAACAGACGGCCUGUAACAACGGGCCGCCCCGCCAGAGGACCCUUAACUCUUGUUUUCCUAGUGACUACUCUGAGUAAAAGCUUGAAAUAAAUCA
RNAcentral lists this unclassified non-coding RNA (151 nucleotides) under soil metagenome. Its description in RNAcentral is "partial internal transcribed spacer 1". The record is from RNAcentral.